ACGGGUGAGUAACACGUGGGUAACCUGCCUCAUAGAGGGGAAUAGCCUUUCGAAAGGAAGAUUAAUACCGCAUAAGAUUGUAGUACCGCAUGGUACAGCAAUUAAAGGAGUAAUCCGCUAUGAGAUGGACCCGCGUCGCAUUAGCUAGUUGGUGAGGUAACGGCUCACCAAGGCGACGAUGCGUAGCCGACCUGAGAGGGUGAUCGGCCACAUUGGGACUGAGACACGGCCCAGACUCCUACGGGAGGCAGCAGUGGGGAAUAUUGCACAAUGGGGGAAACCCUGAUGCAGCAACGCCGCGUGAGUGAUGACGGUCUUCGGAUUGUAAAGCUCUGUCUUCAGGGACGAUAAUGACGGUACCUGAGGAGGAAGCCACGGCUAACUACGUGCCAGCAGCCGCGGUAAUACGUAGGUGGCAAGCGUUGUCCGGAUUUACUGGGCGUAAAGGGAGCGUAGGUGGAUAUUUAAGUGGGAUGUGAAAUACUCGGGCUUAACCUGGGUGCUGCAUUCCAAACUGGAUAUCUAGAGUGCAGGAGAGGAAAGUAGAAUUCCUAGU
RNAcentral lists this ribosomal RNA (556 nucleotides) under uncultured bacterium. RNAcentral describes it as "bacterial SSU rRNA". It matches the Rfam family "Bacterial small subunit ribosomal RNA", at positions 102 to 674 of the family's 1533-position model. The record is from RNAcentral.